RNAcentral lists this ribosomal RNA (1679 nucleotides) under Misgurnus mizolepis (Chinese weather loach). RNAcentral's name for it is "partial 16S ribosomal RNA". It matches the Rfam family "Bacterial large subunit ribosomal RNA". The record is from RNAcentral. Lineage: Eukaryota; Metazoa; Chordata; Actinopteri; Cypriniformes; Cobitidae.
GCUAACCAGCUAGCUAAAUAUUAUACUAAAUUAUCAACAUAAAUAACAUCACAAAACCUAAAUUUAUUAACCAAACCAUUUUUCCACCUAAGUACGGGAGACGAAAAAGGUUCCAUAAGCAAUAGAAAAAGUACCGCAAGGGAAAGCUGAAAGAGCAAUGAAAUAAGUCAUGUAAGCGUAAAAAAGCAGAGAUUAAUACUCGUACCUUUUGCAUCAUGCUUUAGCAAGAACCCAACAAGCAAAGAGACCUUUAGUUUGUAACCCCGAAACCAAGUGAGCUACCCCGGGACAGCCUUAAUAGGGCCAACCCGUCUCUGUGGCAAAAGAGUGGGAAGAGCCCCGGGUAGAGGUGACAGACCUACCGAACUUGGUGAUAGCUGGUUGCCUAAGAAAUGGAUAGAAGUUCAGCCUUGUGCCCCCUUUUAUCAAGUAAGUAAAAUCUACUAUAGAAACUAAGAGAAUCACAAGAGUUAGUUAAAGGGGGUACAGCCCCUUUAACCAAGGAUACAACUUUAUCAGGAGGAUAGGGAUUAUAAUUUUUAAAAUUAUUGUUUCAGUGGGCCUAAAAGCAGCCACCUGUGCAGAAAGCGUUAAAGCUCAGACGAUAAGAAAUUUAUUAUUUCAAUAAAACAUCCCACUCCCCUAAAUAUAUUAGGCCGCUCCAUGACUUCAUGGAAGAGAUUAUGCUAAAAUGAGUAACAAGAGAUAAACAACUCUCUCCUAGCACAAGUGUAAGCCAGCCCGGAUAAACCACUGGCAAUUAACGAGCCCAAUAUAAGAGGGAAAUGUAAUUAAAACAAAAUGCAAGAAAAUUCUACAAUUUGUAGUCGUUAAACCCACACUGGAGUGCCACAGGGAAAGACUAAAAGAAAGGGAAGGAACUCGGCAAACCCAAGCCUCGCCUGUUUACCAAAAACAUCGCCUCCUGCAAAAUUCAAGGUAUAGGAGGUCCAGCCUGCCCAGUGACCACAAGUUCAACGGCCDGCGGUAUUUUGACCGUGCAAAGGUAGCGCAAUCACUUGUCUUUUAAAUGAAGACCUGUAUGAAUGGCUAAACGAGGGCUUAGCUGUCUCCCCUUUCAAGUCAGUGAAAUUGAUCUGCCCGUGCAGAAGCGGACAUACACCUACAAGACGAGAAGACCCUUUGGAGCUUAAGGUUCAAGCCCAACCGCGUUAAGCAACUUACAAAAUAAGCAUUAAACCUAGCGGAUAGUGGCGCUUUACCUUCGGUUGGGGCGACCACGGAGAAAAAGAUAUCCUCCGAGUGGACUGGGCCAACUAAGCCUAAAACCAAGAAAGACAUUUCUAAGUAACAGAAAAUCUGACCAAUAAUGAUCCGGCCCAAGGGCCGAUCAACGGACCAAGUUACCCUAGGGAUAACAGCGCAAUCCUCUCCCAGAGUCCAUAUCGACGAGGGGGUUUACGACCUCGAUGUUGGAUCAGGACAUCCUAAUGGUGCAGCCGCUAUUAAGGGUUCGUUUGUUCAACGAUUAAAGUCCUACGUGAUCUGAGUUCAGACCGGAGUAAUCCAGGUCAGUUUCUAUCUGUAACGUCACUUUUCCUAGUACGAAAGGACCGGAAAAAGGAGGCCCAUACCAAAGGUACGCCUCACCCCUAAUUAAUGAAGACAACUUAAUUAAAUAAAUGGAGGACCCAUAAUAUGAGCAAAGAUAAUGCCAC